GGGUUGUGAGGUUAAGCGACUAAGCGUACACGGUGGAUGCCCUGGCAGUCAGAGGCGAUGAAGGACGUGCUAAUCUGCGAUAAGCGUCGGUAAGGUGAUAUGAACCGUUAUAACCGGCGAUUUCCGAAUGGGGAAACCCAGUGUGAUUCGUCACACUAUCAUUAACUGAAUCCAUAGGUUAAUGAGGCGAACCGGGGGAACUGAAACAUCUAAGUACCCCGAGGAAAAGAAAUCAACCGAGAUUCCCCCAGUAGCGGCGAGCGAACGGGGAGCAGCCCAGAGCCUGAAUCAGUGUGUGUGUUAGUGGAAGCGUCUGGAAAGGCGCGCGAUACAGGGUGACAGCCCCGUACACAAAAAUGCACAUACUGUGAGCUCGAUGAGUAGGGCGGGACACGUGGUAUCCUGUCUGAAUAUGGGGGGACCAUCCUCCAAGGCUAAAUACUCCUGACUGACCGAUAGUGAACCAGUACCGUGAGGGAAAGGCGAAAAGAACCCCGGCGAGGGGAGUGAAAAAGAACCUGAAACCGUGUACGUACAAGCAGUGGGAGCACGCUUAGGCGUGUGACUGCGUACCUUUUGUAUAAUGGGUCAGCGACUUAUAUUCUGUAGCAAGGUUAACCGAAUAGGGGAGCCGAAGGGAAACCGAGUCUUAACUGGGCGUUAAGUUGCAGGGUAUAGACCCGAAACCCGGUGAUCUAGCCAUGGGCAGGUUGAAGGUUGGGUAACACUAACUGGAGGACCGAACCGACUAAUGUUGAAAAAUUAGCGGAUGACUUGUGGCUGGGGGUGAAAGGCCAAUCAAACCGGGAGAUAGCUGGUUCUCCCCGAAAGCUAUUUAGGUAGCGCCUCGUGAAUUCAUCUCCGGGGGUAGAGCACUGUUUCGGCAAGGGGGUCAUCCCGACUUACCAACCCGAUGCAAACUGCGAAUACCGGAGAAUGUUAUCACGGGAGACACACGGCGGGUGCUAACGUCCGUCGUGAAGAGGGAAACAACCCAGACCGCCAGCUAAGGUCCCAAAGUCAUGGUUAAGUGGGAAACGAUGUGGGAAGGCCCAGACAGCCAGGAUGUUGGCUUAGAAGCAGCCAUCAUUUAAAGAAAGCGUAAUAGCUCACUGGUCGAGUCGGCCUGCGCGGAAGAUGUAACGGGGCUAAACCAUGCACCGAAGCUGCGGCAGCGACGCUUAUGCGUUGUUGGGUAGGGGAGCGUUCUGUAAGCCUGUGAAGGUGUACUGUGAGGUAUGCUGGAGGUAUCAGAAGUGCGAAUGCUGACAUAAGUAACGAUAAAGCGGGUGAAAAGCCCGCUCGCCGGAAGACCAAGGGUUCCUGUCCAACGUUAAUCGGGGCAGGGUGAGUCGACCCCUAAGGCGAGGCCGAAAGGCGUAGUCGAUGGGAAACAGGUUAAUAUUCCUGUACUUGGUGUUACUGCGAAGGGGGGACGGAGAAGGCUAUGUUGGCCGGGCGACGGUUGUCCCGGUUUAAGCGUGUAGGCUGGUUUUCCAGGCAAAUCCGGAAAAUCAAGGCUGAGGCGUGAUGACGAGGCACUACGGUGCUGAAGCAACAAAUGCCCUGCUUCCAGGAAAAGCCUCUAAGCAUCAGGUAACAUCAAAUCGUACCCCAAACCGACACAGGUGGUCAGGUAGAGAAUACCAAGGCGCUUGAGAGAACUCGGGUGAAGGAACUAGGCAAAAUGGUGCCGUAACUUCGGGAGAAGGCACGCUGAUAUGUAGGUGAAGUCCCUCGCGGAUGGAGCUGAAAUCAGUCGAAGAUACCAGCUGGCUGCAACUGUUUAUUAAAAACACAGCACUGUGCAAACACGAAAGUGGACGUAUACGGUGUGACGCCUGCCCGGUGCCGGAAGGUUAAUUGAUGGGGUCAGCGCAAGCGAAGCUCUUGAUCGAAGCCCCGGUAAACGGCGGCCGUAACUAUAACGGUCCUAAGGUAGCGAAAUUCCUUGUCGGGUAAGUUCCGACCUGCACGAAUGGCGUAAUGAUGGCCAGGCUGUCUCCACCCGAGACUCAGUGAAAUUGAACUCGCUGUGAAGAUGCAGUGUACCCGCGGCAAGACGGAAAGACCCCGUGAACCUUUACUAUAGCUUGACACUGAACAUUGAGCCUUGAUGUGUAGGAUAGGUGGGAGGCUUGGAAGUGUGGACGCCAGUCUGCAUGGAGCCGACCUUGAAAUACCACCCUUUAAUGUUUGAUGUUCUAACGUGGACCCGUGAUCCGGGUUGCGGACAGUGUCUGGUGGGUAGUUUGACUGGGGCGGUCUCCUCCUAAAGAGUAACGGAGGAGCACGAAGGUUGGCUAAUCCUGGUCGGACAUCAGGAGGUUAGUGCAAUGGCAUAAGCCAGCUUGACUGCGAGCGUGACGGCGCGAGCAGGUGCGAAAGCAGGUCAUAGUGAUCCGGUGGUUCUGAAUGGAAGGGCCAUCGCUCAACGGAUAAAAGGUACUCCGGGGAUAACAGGCUGAUACCGCCCAAGAGUUCAUAUCGACGGCGGUGUUUGGCACCUCGAUGUCGGCUCAUCACAUCCUGGGGCUGAAGUAGGUCCCAAGGGUAUGGCUGUUCGCCAUUUAAAGUGGUACGCGAGCUGGGUUUAGAACGUCGUGAGACAGUUCGGUCCCUAUCUGCCGUGGGCGCUGGAGAACUGAGGGGGGCUGCUCCUAGUACGAGAGGACCGGAGUGGACGCAUCACUGGUGUUCGGGUUGUCAUGCCAAUGGCACUGCCCGGUAGCUAAAUGCGGAAGAGAUAAGUGCUGAAAGCAUCUAAGCACGAAACUUGCCCCGAGAUGAGUUCUCCCUGACUCCUUGAGAGUCCUGAAGGAACGUUGAAGACGACGACGUUGAUAGGCCGGGUGUGUAAGCGCAGCGAUGCGUUGAGCUAACCGGUACUAAUGAACCGUGAGGCUUAACCUUACAACGCCGAAG
RNAcentral lists this ribosomal RNA (2925 nucleotides) under Escherichia coli. RNAcentral describes it as "bacterial LSU rRNA". It matches the Rfam family "Bacterial large subunit ribosomal RNA". The record is from RNAcentral. Lineage: Bacteria; Pseudomonadati; Pseudomonadota; Gammaproteobacteria; Enterobacterales; Enterobacteriaceae.